GCUGGAGGAUCAGAGUUUCAAAGUGAAGAUGGAACAAAGUGUGAAGUCUUUUUUUGAGAUAAAUGAUAAGGAAGUGACACCUAUUAUUCUAUGGGAAGCGGCAAAAGCAACUAUAAGGGGUGCAAUAAUAGCAUACUCAUCUCAUCAAAAGAGGAAAAGGGAAAGAGAAAAAAAAUUUUUGGAAAAUGAAAUAAAAAGACUUCAGGAACAGCAUGAAAGAAACUUGAACAAAGAAACAUACAGACAACUGAAAACAGCGAAAAAAGCUUUAGACACUAUAGAAAUACAUGAAAUUGAAAAGGACCUUAUGCUGUGUAGGCAGACUUAUUACGAUAACAGUCCAAAAGCAUUGAAAAUAUUAGCAACCAAAUUAAAGAAACAAAAAGAAAAAAGUGCAAUAGUAACUAUUUAGGAUGGAAAUGACGAGCCCCAGAGAGGUAAAUCAAAUAUAGCAGCAUGUUUCAGAGACUAUUAUCAAACCCUUUAUACUCCAGAACAAGCAGAUGUGAGCAUGCAAAAUAUUAAAGAGUAUCUAACACCUCUAAACCUUCCUGUAGUAACAGAUACACAAAAUAAAGAUUUAGUUAAACCAAUAACAGAAGCCGAAAUUACAAAGGUUAUACAGAAAAGCAAAACUGGGAAAAGCCCUGGAAGUGAUGGCUUUACAAAUGAAUUUUUUAAGUGUUUUAGAGUUUUGUUAUUACCUAUCCUUGGCAGGGUCUUUAAUUACAUUUUAGAAACAGGAGUGUGGCCAGACACCUGGAAUUCUGCAAUUAUUACUGUAAUACCAAAAGAAGGAAAAGAUUUGACAAAUUGCUCAUCCUACAGACCGAUAUCUCUUUUAAAUGUUGAUCAAAAGAUAUUCACAUCAAUCAUAGCCAAUAGACUCUCACACAUACUCCCAGAUAUAAUUAAUUCAGAUCAAACUGGAUUUGUCAAGGACCGUCUUUUAAGUGAUAAUUUGAGGCGUACUCUCAAUAUUAUAGACCAAACAGUGAUGACGAAACAACAGAUGCUGACAUUAAGCUUAGAUGCCGAAAAGGCUUUUGAUAGAGUCUCUUGGACGUUUUUACUAGGAGUAUGUGAGAAGUUUGGCUUUCAUAAAACAUUUAUUACACUGAUUGAAGGAAUGUAUAAAGAACCAAAUGCAAGAGUAAGAGUUAAUGGGAUGCUAUCUAAGACCAUCAAUUUGAAACGAGGAAUAAAACAAGGAGAUCCCAUAUCACCCCAAAUUUUUAAUUUAUGUAUUGAACCUUUAGCAGAACAAAUUAGGAUAAAUAAUGAAAUAAAGGGAGUUAAUGUAAAGGGAGAAGAACAUAAACUAGCAAUGUAUGCAGAUGAUAUCAUUGUAUACCUCACAGAAAUCCGCCAAUCUCUGCCUAGUUUAUUAAAGGAAAUAACAAACUAUAGUAUUAUGUCUGGCUACAAGCUAAAUUUAAAUAAAACAGAAGCGAUGUUAGUGGGGGGCCAUCUGGAAAAUGAAUUUAAAAAACAGUUUAAUAUAAAAUGGGAUCAGAAUAAAGUGAAAUAUUUAGGAGUAAUCAUACCUAACAAUUUUGACGAAUUAUAUAACUGCAACUAUGUGCCCUUGGAAAAUGCUGUGAAACAAGAUCUCAGUAGAUGGAAAAUAACACCCCUGACUCUCCUAGAAAGAAUUAAGAUUAUAAAAAUGUAUGUUCUGCCACGCUUCUUAUUUUUAUUCCAAAACCUGCCUUUGUAUAUAUCACCGACACGCUUCCAUACCUGGGAGGGAAUGCUGAGAAAAUUUAUAUGGGACGCUAAGAAGCCAAGAGUUAAAUUAAAAUUAUUGCAACAGAACAAAGACAGAGGUGGGUUGGCCUUACCUAAUCUGUGUCAUUAUUACUAUGCAGCACAGAUUAAACCUAUACUGAUAUGGAUGAACAAUAAGAGAAACCCUAAAUGGAAGCGUAUGGAAUUGAGUCUGGUCGAGUCACUCAGCACAUUGAUCUUUACACCUUAUGAUAAAGCACAGAUGAAAACACUCAACUACUCUAUACGUAAUACUUUUAGGAGUUGGAAAACCAUCUGUAAAAUGUGUAAAAUCAAGGAACAAGAAGCUACCUGUAUGAGAGAAAUGUCAUGCGACUCAGAUUUCACUCCAAAUAGAAUAGAUCAGGUUUUUAAGAUAUGGGAAGGGAAAGGUCUUCAGAGAUUCUUUCAAAUGUAUAUGACCAAGGAAUGGUCUCUUUUGAAGAUAUAGUAGAACAAUACAGUCUUCCUAGAAAUCAUUUUUUUAGAUAUCUGCAAGUGAGAAGCUACCUAAAAGAUAAACUUAAAAUUAGAACUCUUGGAAACCUUCACCCUAUCCUGAGAUACGUAACAAAAUCUCAUCAAAGACAUGAUUACAAAAACACAAUUGGACAACUUUAUCAAAUAUUUCAGGAAAACUUUGUUGAAGAUCUAGAUAAUAUUAAGGAAAAAUGGGAUAAAGAGCUGAGAAUUACUAUAGAAAGAAAUGAGUGGAAUCAGAGUUUCAUGGACAUUUUCAAACACAUAAGAUCUCCCUUCUGGCAGGAAUAUGCCUGGAAGAUGAAUAUACAGUACUUCCAAACACCACUGUCCGUAUCAAAGUACACAUUAAACUCUAAUUGUUGGAGGGAAUGUGGGGAGAAUAAGGCUGACCAUACCCAUAUAUUUUUUACAUGUUCCAAAGUACAAAGCUUCUGGCUGAAGGUCUCACACACUAUAGAACAAAUAUUUGGAAGAGAUAUUCAAUUAGAAAAUCACAAUAUAAUUCUAGGAACACGUCCCAAACGAUUGAGGAGCCAAGAUCUUUAUCUCUUCUGUAUACUGAGAAUGACUGCACUCAAACAAAUUACAAGAGGUUGGAAAAGUGUGGACCACCCAAGGGUGGAUAGGUGGCUGGAAACAAUGGAAAAUAUGUGUUUAAUGGAAAAGGUGACAUAUAAAAUUAAUGGCAAGGAAACUUUGUUUGAGAAAAGAUGGGUCUCUUAUCUUUCAAAUAAGGAUAACCUGUAUGCCUAAAAACUGAAUUUUCAUUGCUGAAACAAACACAACAAAGCCUUUUUUUUUUUUUUUCUAUUUUAUUUAUUAACAUGUUUUUGUGUAGAAAUGUCAUGUUUUACGUCUCUGUUUGAGUUUAUUUCUGUGUGAGAAAAAAAAAAAAAAAGGGUCAAAAUGUCUGUAAAAAAGUGAUAUAAAUGAUGAAAAAGAAACAUUGAUGAAAUGGCAAUUGAUUUGUAUUGCUAUAUGUUACGGACCUAAUAAAGUAUA
RNAcentral lists this long non-coding RNA (3255 nucleotides) under Xyrichtys novacula (pearly razorfish). Lineage: Eukaryota; Metazoa; Chordata; Actinopteri; Labriformes; Labridae. The record is from RNAcentral.